Motacilla alba alba is the source of this 16060-nucleotide long non-coding RNA. RefSeq lists it as uncharacterized. The record is from RefSeq and is a predicted model, not a curated record. NCBI's taxonomy places the organism in Eukaryota, Metazoa, Chordata, Aves, Passeriformes, Motacillidae. The transcript is spliced from 6 exons.
UCCCCUUUAAGUUUCCAUAGAGAGGCCUCCGGGUGUCACAUGAUGGACAUGAUAUAACGAAACAACAUCGUGGGGAGGGACGGAGGGAAGCAGUGGGGGAGCCCGGGGAGGCGUCGGGGAGGUGGCGGUGCCCCCCGACCCGCCCGCCCCGGCUGCACCUGUCUCGGCGCGCCGGGAGCGCGGUGUCCGCCCCGCUGAUGGGGCUGCGGGCGGCACCUUCCCCCGGGGAGGAGGAGAAGGAGGAGGAGAAGGAGGCGAGCCGGUGGCGGAGCAGAGAUUCUUAACCUUUGACCAAAAGCGAGUCCUGUGGAAGUCAUUCAAGGCGGCGCAUUAAGAUAAUCAUUCAGAUUUUGAGAGCAAUGAAAACAGAUCAAUACUGACUUCUUGUUCCGUUUUCUGUGACUGUUCCACGUCCUCCUGCUGCUGCUGCAGCCAACGUGGAUCCGAAUGCCGUGGCUACAAAGGCUUGUCACUGUCUCAUGCUGGGUCCCUCACAUCCAAGAGCUACUUGGCAGUUUCCAAGGCAACCACCUGUGGAAUAAUUAAAAAGGAUGAAGUGUUAGCGUGCCACAUAUAAGGAAUUCUUGCCUGGAGAGAGCAUUUCACUUUCUUCCGUCUUGAAGAAUCAAAACGUGCUUCUGCCAGCAAAGUUAAGAAAAAGAAACAGUGGCUGAGUUGCACAAGUGAACCAGGACGAUGCAAAAUUAAGUCAAAGAGGAGUGCUCGUUUUCCUAUUUUUAGCUUAAAGCAGCAUUUGAGAAUUUGGUAUCACUGUAAGUCAUCUGACAGGGCUGUGACGUUCCUGGCUUCCCUUCUGAGAAGGAAAACAUCCCAAAUAACUGCCUGGAAUAAGUCAGAUGAAUCAUGUCAUGCAAGUGACAGUUUCUUUGCACUGACUUUAAAGGAGUUCCCUGUGACUAACCCAGAUAUCAACAUCUGUGCUGCAGUUCACCCAGUGCCAUCUGCCACGGUGUCUGCGAUGUAUUUCAGUCCUGACGAAAUCCCCCUUCCUCAGCGGUACCUCCGCACGCUGUCGUAAGGAUGAUGUGACAAGCAAAGCUGGCAAGUUGUUCCCACCUUUGUUGCCAAUUAUAAAGCAGUGUAAAGAGGCAAAUUCUGACAGCUUGUGUCCUUAGAGGUGUUUGAAUACUGAACUCGUAGUGAAAUCAUCAGCAGUGAGGCUCUUGAGCAUCCCUGAGGCUCUGGGCUGGGCUCUCUGCUCACCUUUUGCUCAAGUAGUCUUUGCCUGACAUUCAUCACUUCUUCGCCUGACUCAGAUGUGUAUUUAAAGCUGCUGAUUAUUCAUCAGCAUCAAAACAUUUACUUGUGGAUACAGAGAGCACAGUUCCGUGUAAAAAGGAAUAAGUUUUCAGCUGGUUUGUUUUCUAAUCCUGGAGAAAUCUGCAAGGUCAGUGAGCCUGGCGUGUGUAAUGGGUCUCCUCACGGCUGCCAAACGUGUUGGGGACUGUGGUCUGGAACUCCCAGUUUAUUUCAUUCCUUUGCUUUCUGCUGCUCAUUAAAAGAUCUAAAAAGAAUUAAAAUCUCAGUGGUGUGAGAUGUUCAGGCUGUCUGAAAUGGUUUUCAUUCUGCGGCUCCCAGAUUUUGUUCAGGCGAAAGGAGCUGAAGUUUUCCUGAAGAAAACCACAUUUUUCAGUAAAAACACUGAACUCUGAAUUCAGGUCACCUCAGACUGACUCUACUCAGUCCUUCCUUUGCUGUCUUAAGGUGAAGAUUGCAAGAGCACCUUAAAGGAUUGUUCUGAAAACCGUAGUAGUUAGCACUCUGCAAGCCUGCCAAAAUAGAUACUAAAUGCAAAUAUUUUUAAGCCUCCUUUUCACCUCCCAGAGUUGUUUUGCUAUCUUGUUCUAUGCUGAACAGAAACACAGGAGACUGAGAUCUUGUCUCAUUCUCGCAAACCAAUGCAGAAAUUGUGGCCUUUCAGAACACUCCUUGAAUCACUGCUCUGUGUAGUUGUAUAGUUGUGGUUCCCAGGUUUCAAAAUGGGAUAAAGAACUGGUUCCCAGCAGGAGUAAUCACAACAUAGCUCCUCUCCCAUGCCAGACAAGCUUUUCAUGGUGUGUUUUGGAAGUACAUUUUUCACAUGGGCACAACUAACUCUUGAUUUAAAAAAAUUAUUUGAAACUACUCAGGGGCACAAAUAAAUGACUGCAAGAAUACCAGAGAAUUGAGCAACAGGCAAAGGACAUGUUGUUUCCUUUAAGAAUUCUGACUAGAAAUGACGUCACUUAGAUAGUUGGGAUGUUUGUGAGCACUACAGGACUUGGAAAGGGAAAGCAAAUCGGAAAAACACUGGGAAGCUGAACAAUUUGUUUUGUUUUAUGACUCCCUGGUCGUUUAAUGAGGGAGCUAUUACUCAUGCGCUGUCACUGCACAUCUAGAAAAUUCCUCUGGGUCUAAAAACUGGCAGGGAAAAGUAGUUUCCUAAAAAACACUGAAUUAAUGAGAUAAAACCCAUUGCUCAGGAGUCCCUAACAGGAAGGGUCGGAGGCAGAGCUGUGCAGGGCUCACGGUGUGUUGGAAAUCUCCGCAGGGGAUUUCAGGGAGCACAUAGAGCUGGCAGGGAUUCAGGGAAGUGAUGCAGCAGAUACGCUCAGCAUCUGGCUUUUAGGGUACAGAACUAUGGAUUUGAGCAGAUAAAAAAACACAAGUUUGAUUGGGGCAUUGUAGCCAAUCCUUGCCCUCCAUUCCUUUGCAUCUGAAAAUAUCUAGGACUGGGGUGUUUAAGAAGGAGAUUUGUCCCCAUGGGAAGUGAUACAAAGCAAUGUAUUAAUAAUAUUGACACAUGAAGUGAGGGCUGUUGUAUUGAAGGAGAAGAAAACGAAGUAUUUGUGGUGUGGGCCUAAUUAUCCAGCUUUAAAUGAUUUUUCAUGGCUUCAUAAUCUGUAUUCCUAUGGUCUGUCAGACUUCUGACUUCUUGCUUUGAGUCUGCAUUGCUUUAUAGAUCUCUAUGGUAUUUUACAGGCAAUACAAUGCGUUUUUACUUCAGUUAUUUUAGCUGGUUUAGCCUAUCUUGUCACAUCCACACAGGAUACACAUUAUCCUCACCUUAACUGGAAACCUAAUAGAACUUUCAUGGCCCUGAGGGCAGGAUGAGGGUUGUUCCAGUUAGGUGUUAUAGAGAGCACAGUAAGCAAAGUGCUGUUCCAGUGUGGAAAUGCAAGGGAAUCUUCCUCACCAACCCCCUGACACAAUUAUUCCCUCGUAGCAGAAGUUACUGUAAUUCCUUUUGCCAAAAAAAAUGCUGAUAAGGCAGAGGCUGUUAGGAGGGAAAUCCAUAAGGAGUCUGGAAAGUGUGAUGUAAGGAUUAGUAAUAGAAUUAGCAAGCUGCUGUAGCACUUGCCUUAAAUUACAACACCUCAAACAUAACCAUCAUAAUUCCUUGUCUCACUGCAGUGCUGUGCUGUGGUCUGAAUCAGUUUUGACUUCUCCAUUACUGUCCUUUUAAGCACUUUCAGAAUUCUUCUAAUUAUUCAUUUUUCAUCAAGAUGAUCACCAAAUUUUCCAUGCAAAUACAGAAGUAGUUCAGGAAGGGUUGUGUGUUUUAAGCUUCAGAUCAAAAUGAUGCUUAGCUGUGUCCCCCUGUACAUGCACCAUGUACCCUCCUUAGAAAUAUCCAGUGCUGAGCUUUUAAAGCACAUAGAUGCUCAGUUUAUUGUAUCCAUGCUGGAUUUUUGGGUGUGGAACUCAACUGCCUGGACCAGAAUUAGGAAAUAAUUCCUACACGUGAUGUGAAAAAAGUCCUGGAUCACAGAGCAGAGCUUCAUUCCCAUUCCUGGGACAGAACGAGACUGAAAAGACUGGGGGGGGGACCCCUGAGGUGUUGAGAAGGUGGCAGAGGUAUGGAUGGCAUGUAAUUUUGGAAUCAGAAUAAGCACUGUAGAGGGAAACACUCCAGAGGGACCUUGUUUGUGACACAUUAGACAGGGAUUUGGGCAUCAGUUGCUCUCAGGUUGUGUGUGCCUGGCAGGGAGCCCGGGGAAGCUCAGGUUGAGUGUGGAACAGCCUGUUGGGUACCAGGAGCCACACAAAUGAUGCACAAACGUGUUCAGCCUCAUAUUUUGCAUCUGUGCUGCUCCAGUUUUCCAGGGUGGAGUGAAGCUGAAGGCUGAACAAGCACAGAAAGGGGCUCUCCUGCUUUUCAGGUGGUGCUUCAGUAUCCAGUGGAAGGUUGGUGACCACCAGGGCCUCUCUGCAGCCUUGUUCUAGAAAGGGCUCUGGUGUUGGCAUGGAUUUUGGUGGAUUUCAGGCUCUUCCAGGGCUCAUGGUGGUUUAUUUUAUUGCAGAAAAGUCAAGGUGAGAAGCAGGUUCCCUCAUGCCAGCUGGGACACCUUUGGCUGUGGUACAGCACAUGCUGAUGCCCCAGCAGCUACUAAAUAGAAAGUUCUAUCACUCCAGAGUCUAGGCACCUAAAUCCUGCCAAAAUCCAGGCAGUGCUGAGACAGGCCACAUGGCUGAUACCUGCAGACUCCCAGUCUCAUGGCAGGGGACACUGUGGACAGCCAUGUGUCCCUGCCUGGUGCUGCAUCACCCAUGAAACAGGACUGGCCUCCCCAGAGCUCCAGCCCUGUGCGUGUUGCGCUAACGCAAGAGACAUUUCAUGGCUUGUUACUGAAACCUAACUUAAUUUUCCCGUUAAUGAAGCUGUAAUUGAGGUCCAUUACUGUGAUCAUGGGUCAGCUGAUUGCCCUCCUUGGCUGAGGGUGCAUCCAGCACUAUUUUCCCUCUACUCUGGAAGGGUUGGUGAGUGUUAGAGGCAGACCUGACCUAACUGGGGUUGCUCCCACCUUGGCACUGAAACCUCCAUCCCAACACCCAUCCCGAGCUUUCCUCCCAGCUCUUGCUUUACACGUGGCCUUUGGAGGGCAGAUACAUUCAAGGGACUGUCAGGUUUUAUAUUUAAACACUUUCCUCUUCUAUUUUUUUCUGAAGCUUUACUCUGUCAAGGCCUGUGCAGCUGGCGUUACACAGCACAUACUUUAUUAUCCCAGUCAUCACUUCAACCGUUUAAUCCUUUUAACCUUCACAGUGGCUACAGAAGGAAUUAUGGGGAGUGAAUUUCCUCUUGAGUGAAUUUCCUUGGCCACUGUUAAAACCACAAAGAAAUCCAGAGUAGUUCCAUGAAAAAAGGGAUCUCUAGACUGAACUGUUUGCAAAGGACUGGAAGGGGUGAGAGAAAUGAGAAGUCAGUCUAGCUGCAGGGAAAUGGCUGUGGGGACACCACCAUGGGCUGGCAGCUGCCACAUUCCUGCAUCCAACUUCCCAGACCUGUUCCAACCAGAGAAAAGUUAAUUCAGAGCAGUCAGCCCUGCUGGGCAGGGAAAGGACCUUGCUGCCAGAUGCUAUUUGUGUUGUACAUUAUCUCCAUAGGUUUUGCAUCUGUCUUUCCUGCAGUUUUAUUUUUUGCCUUCAAAAUUCCCAUUUUUCUCAUUGUGUCUCGUAAUUGAAUUUGCAAAAUACUAAAAAGGGACAUUAGAAUGUGCCUGUUAACAGAGGAGAAUAAAUUAAUUACACGCUGUGAACUAACUGAACUCAUUUAGCAAUUGAUGAAUUAACUUAUGUCUACAAACAGGAGAACUUGAAUGCUGGCAGAAUAAACAGUGAAAUCUCUCAUUGACUGAAUCACGGGAAGUGUUUUUAGGUUUCUUUUUCCUUAGUUUAGUAAUGGCCACAUCUUUAGAAUUAGGAAGUUAUACCAGUCAUUUGCAAUUUAGGGUUCACCUCUGUGAUUCCAUCCUACACCACUUCCACGCUGACAUCUGCCUCCUGAAUUCAUUGGAAGCUCUGAUGUUUCCAGUUGCUUUUUCUUAACCAAAUAUUAACACUAGUUCUUCAUCUUUCCUUUUUUACACUGGUCAAACUUUCAACAGCAUCAAUCAUGCUUCCAUUUGAGAUUCCAUCCUCACUGGAUAACCGAGAUUCUGGGGGUUUUGUGGUCUUCCUUAAUAAUAUUUCUAAUGUGCCCAGUGGUGUUAUGUUCUCUGUGUGCACAUUCUGCAUCUUCUCUCUUCCCAGGUUUCCACUGCAGUAAUGGAUUUGAUUAUGCUCUCUCUCUCUCUUUAGUCAAGUCAGACCUGCACCUGUAUGCAUCAUUUUGUUUUCCUUCCAGGAUGUUUGUGUGGCUUGUACACGUGGAUUGAUAGCAAUCUGCUGCAGCUCAGUUCCGUGUCAACAAAAAGGAGCUUUCUCCCAUCCCAACCCUCUGUAAAUGCCACAAAAACACCUUUGUGUUUAAGCCUCUGUUUUAAAACUUUAUCUUCCUAUGAUGCCUGCAGUAGAAAGGCUGUUAAUCUGCCUUUAUAUCAGAUUUUAUUGCUUUAUUAGUCCUUAUGCUUUCUCUUUUUUUUGUUUAUGUCUCUCUUUCUUGCCUCAGGCAGUAAACUAGAAACCAAGCUCAUUUUAUUCUGUUUCAUGUGAAGCUUCUAGAUCAGUGUGUCUUGAUCUCUGUCCUGCUGCAGUCGUUUCCUUCCUUGGAAAUCACUGGGAAGGUAAACACCUACUGCACAAACUGAGUUUCUCAGGUCCCAAAGAAAAUCAGAACUUCAUCCAUCCUUUAAUGUUCCAGCUAUGAGAGGCUGACCUUGUUUGCAGCUUCAAAAGGUGGAGCCAGUUGUGGGGAAGAGACAAAAAAAGAUCAGGAGUAAUUUGGAUGCGUGUUACGUUUUCUGAUGGACAAGGACAUAUUUUUCUAGUGCAACUAGAGUUGUUUAAUGGAUGUUGUAGAUCAAAGCAAAACCAAAUUUCUUUUCAGAAUCCAGCAGCCCCUUUUCCCAUCCCUUGCCUGGCUGUGUUCAAUACAUGGAGCACUAUGUUGUCCUCUAAUUAGCUCUGUAAUUUCCAUGGUGUGUGCCAGCAUCAGUGUUUAUUAUUGAAGCACAGUGUCUGCUUUUAUCCUCUUGAUGUGACUGUCCUGUCACAGAAGUCACAUGCACAAACUGAGUAGUAAAAGGGGUUCAGGAGUAAGGAUUAGCAAAUAUUCUGAGCUGUGCAUGGUUGUGCAGAUGUAAUUGAUUGCAGCACUGCCAGAUGCUCACCAGUUGAUCCAGAUGAUCCUUGCUCAGCAUGCAGUGAAGAUCCCUCUCAUCUCCUGGAUCUUCCAGUCCCUAGCAUGGCUAACAGGGCAUUGAUCAAUCCCUAAAAAUCUUUAUUUUUACCAUAACCGUGUGACUUCUCUGCAUUUAAUGGAGGGAAGCUGAAGUGGAAAUGCAAACACGCAUUUAAAGAAACAAUUUUAGAAAUUCCAGGUGCUGAUCUCAGGAGGGCAUCUUGCAUAUGCUAGAGGAAUAUGUUGUUUGAGGGAAAACCUGCUUCUAAAUCUGUGCAAAUUGAAAGGUAAAUAAUUUCUGUUUCCAGUACCCUGAUGGAGUAAGAUCUCUGCACUGGUUACUUUUCCUGCUAUGAAUGUUGUGGUAUAUAAAUGUAUCUGGCAUAUGUAUUUGUCACUGUGCAGCAAUAGAAUAUAGGAAAUGAAUAUCUGUAAAAAAUACUGAUUUCUGCUUCAUAGAAUCACAGAAUUGUUUGAGAUGGAAGGGACCUUCAAGACCAUCUAGUUCCAACGCUCUGCCAUGGGAAGGGACACCUUCCACUAUCCCGGGUUGCUUGUUGCCUCAUCUGGCUUCCUUGCUUCUUCAGCAUAACAAGGAAGGCUUCUAAAGUGCUUUGUUUCACUCUGAAAAUAUUCCUGGCUUGGGUUUCAGGGUUUUUUUGCAGUGUCAUAUGUGAUGGGAGGAGUACAGAAUAUUUGUCUUUCACUGAGAGGUCCUCUGCAGUGUGUUCCUGAGGCGUGGGAAUUAAGCUGAGGUUAAAACUUGAAGUGGUCUGAUUGAACUUCCUAUCUUCCUUAAUUGUUAUCUUCUUUCUGUGUGAUAAUUUUAAUUUCGCUUCCUCUUGGGUAAUCGUGGAGUAGUCUGAGUUUGUCUUUUAUCAGACAGAAAAAAAAACACAGGCUAAUAAAAGUUUUUGUGCUGCUUACUGUUAUUUUUUAAAGAUACAGAGGAGCAGUUCCUUCCAGGUCACUUUGCAUGCUUUGACAGACAAAGUGCCACGAUGAUGUGUGGAGCAGCACAAAUUAAUCCAGUGCUGGAGAUAAGCAGAGGGGCAGCAGCGCCUGGUUUUGAGAGCUCACUUUGUAGGGACAGAAGUGGCUGUGAUCCAGCUCAUGGGACAAGGAUACAAACAGCAGGUGUAGUUUGGAGUGCUUCAUGACAGGGGCAUUUCUGCUCAGGGCUGGGAUUAGAGCUUCUAUUGAAACUUAUAUAACAGCCACGGUGCCAGGGUGGUUGCUAAAAAUGAUGCUCAUCACUCUUACAUCCCAAAAGCUGGAAGUCAGAAGAACUAUUUUAAGCUGAAGAAAUAUUUUCGGGUUUUUUUAUUCUUAAUGGCCAUUGUUUUUCUCCCAGACCCUACUGAGAUGAUUUUAAAUGUGUCAGGCAGCGGUGGUGAUGAAAAUAUGUGUUUUUAUAAUGUAAGACAUGGACAAUGAACACUGAGUUUUGUUGUGGGUGGCUGCUUCAUUAUCAUACCCUCAUUAACAUACCUCAGCAAUCAACAGGGAAUUACAUUUUUUUAUUAUGGCUGUCCUGUCCAGUUUCUAAAAUACAACAUCAGCUGUUUUUAUCCAGCAAAUGGUGAUCCAUUUGGGGGAAAAAAAAAACAAACCACUGUUUUCCUGCCCCUGCUGCCCCAAAGGUUGGUGUUCUGCAGAAGGAGCAGUCAGCUGCCAUGGUGAUGGGCACAGGGUGGGAAUGUGGACAUAAAGAGAGGGAGGCUGAAGCCAGACUGUUCCUGCUUCCUUAUGGUUUCAGUAGCCCCCUCUGAAUUGGAUGGAGACUGAUUCCAAGGAUUUCACAGGUUAUUUGUGGUUUUCUGCCUCAGAUUCUCACAAUUAGCACAAAAUAAUACUCAGGAGGAAAAAAAAAAAAAAAAAGAGUGAGAUUCUCAAGUGGAUAAUGUUUGUACAGGAUGUAUGGAUGUAUGUAAUUCCCUGCAGAGCAGCUUGUGCCCGUUGUGCUGGGAUCUGGAUGCACAGAAAUCUCCCUCCUCCCAUCCAGACUGAAGUCAGUUUUUGGUGAUGCAUAAUUCAUAUCCUGAAGCCUUUGUCACAGAAACAUCUUACUGCCUUUCCCCCAGCUUGAUAAGCCUGCUUUUGUAUUUUUAGGAUUUCCUUCCCUGCUAAUCCCCAAAAUCAGCCUGAUGAGGUUUCAAAACAGAAUUCAGAGUGGAUCUGAGACAGCUGUUACGUCAGGGAUGUUGCUCUGUGCAGCAGGUGAUUCUCUGGCACCUGCUAUUCAUGGAUUCUGCCUCCACAAAGCAUUAUUUCCCUGUGACACCACUGCCACAGUCAGUGCAUAAGUGGAUGCAGCUCAAGGGAUUCUGCCAGGAGGUUUGGGUGUAUCUUUGGAUACAUCUCACAAGGAGUGCCUACACAUAUUUUGUUAUGAAACAAAGACAGCAGGGGUUUUUUUGUGAAUUUUUGGUGAGCUCUAAUCCAAAAUCACUCUUUCCAUAGGGAGCAUGAUGUCUGUAUUUAGUGAUGGGGUAGUGGAACACCUCAAUUGACUGUUCUUACUGUGAGUGCACUCACACAAGUACAGAUUGUGAGGAGUCAUAACGUGCUUAAAAAUCUGUGUAAAACCUGCAGGAAAAGAAAACUGAUUCUCAAGUUGUGUUUUAAUUCAUCUCUUUGCAGAAAAACACAAUUCAAAUAACUUCUGGUGUUUUCUUCUUCCAGGUUCUGAGGACAAACCUGUCAGUAAUGAAUUGUUCCAGAAGUACACAAAGAAAGCUCUUACAUGGUAGAGGCUGUUUUUUCUCAGGUACAGCACAUCCCUGUCCCUCCCUGCUAUCAGUUGUUGUAAAUACCUUGUAGCCAUCAGGCCUUUCCUGCUCAAAGCUUUGAGGAGCUUUGAAAGUACAGAGAUAAAUGCAUGGUGUGCCUGCAUAAUGGGUAAAUUGGAUGUUUCACUAGUGGGAAAUAAUUGCCUUCAUUUGAGGGCUCUUUGCCUGUUCCAGAGGAUUGUUCCCCAGAUCUCUUCACUUCAUAGCACUUCUCAGUGCAGCUAAACAAAGCACAGGAAGGGUGAAGUACUGUUACCAGUGUAGGAAUCUUUUCAGUAAUGGUUUGUCAUUAUUUUCCCCCUAAAUGAUCCAAAUGCUUUGGUUUUUGUUUUUUUUUUUUUCUUGCUGUUUAUAUUAAGCCACCACAGACCUUCUGAUGAUAGUAAAUUCCAGCUGUGGAGGCUUUGAUUGUUUCUUGCACGUUGCUCAUUUUAAGAUGACAGAAUUGUUCAGUGAGAGAAAUUCAAAUGGAAAAAUUGAGGCAAACAGUCCUGUGGGGAAGGUUGAGCUCUGUGUAAAAAUCCAGUAAAACUUGAGUAAGAACCUCAGAGCUCAGUGUAUUGAUUUUCUUGUGAAAGUUCAAGAACUGUGUUUCCUUGCAGGCUGAAACUCAUCUCAGCUCCUCAUGACCAGCUGAGCAAGAGAAAUGGGAUUUGAUGCUAUCCAAGGUGUAAUUCCACAGUUCAUGUCUUCUGCUAGUGCCAGCUUAAUCAGUUUCUGCCCACUCCCAGCCAUUCAUUCCCAGCUCAGCAGCAAUGCAGUGCCACCUUCUUCCCUGACUGUGUGGAAAACCAGAAGACUGAAAAUAACUCAGUAAAGAAAAGAAACUCUUCGUUUUUUCCCUUUGUAUUAGAAUCAUUUGAAUGAAUUUCAUGGCCCACAGGCAGUCGUGUUGGUACUGCUGAAGGUGACAAGAAAUGCAGCAUCAGAGGCAGCAGUGAGCACUGGAGGGUGUCCCAGUGCUGUGUGAUCUUGCUGUCAACAAAAAUCUGCUCUGGGACCAUAUCCUGAAUGAAGGGCUUUCACUAGCCACAGGAUUAUUUAUUGAACUGCUGCUUUUCAUUUAUUUUAUUAAGGGAGAUUAACAUCUUCUUGUUAGGGCAGGUUUAUUUUUUUCUACUUGAGGAGAUAAACCAUCUCUGUGAGAAGUCAGUCAGCUUUGUGGACAGCCGUGAAUGUCAAUAAAGUCUUGGCAAACACAGUAGGUAUUUAUUCAGCAUUGCAAAUUAAAAACAUUUUUCCUGCUUGUUUAGUGAAGGGAACAAAAAAAAGACAAAUUACAGAGCGGAUGAGCUCUCUUGAUAGUUGGAAUUCAUUAAGCUGGUGGUGAAAACGCUGGGGGAUUGAUGGUGCAGAAAAAGAAAAGAUGAAGCAGCUUUUCCCCAAUAGCUGUGGCUUAAGUUCAAGUUGAAAAUGACCAAAAAAAAAAAAAAUCCCUUAAAGACAUCUGUAACUGACUUCACAAUCCCAGUUUCUGUCUGGGUAGACAGUUCUUUCUCACUGCAGUUAGUAUUAAUUGGUUUUUCAGUUGACAGAUAAUUUCUCAGUGGCUCCUCCAUCUCCAUCAUGCCAUGGGGUGUCUGCAGCAGCUCAUAAAUGAGAUCCAUGGCCAGACGUUAAGUGGGAAGUUCACGCAGUCCCUUCCCAUGGUACAGACAGAGCCUUUCUGCAGACUUGUCACUCUGUCAUCUUCGCUCAGCUCCACAUUUUAUUAUUAAAAAAAAAAUAAAUUUAAAAAGUUCCAGUAAGUUGAGCAGUUUGUCAGAUGUGAUGUUCUCACAGGCCAUUGUCUGCAGAUUCUGGCUCUGCCUUUCUGAUGGAUCGUAAAGCUGUCGUGAGUGCAGCUCUAACAAAAUCCAUUUUCACAGCUCCUGUUAUGGCAGGGCAUGGAAAGGAAGCAUUAGGACUUACUUUUUAAUGAAUUUCCUGUACAGAAUCAUUAGUCCACCAUGGAAGUCUUUCCAAGUCGCACCCAGUGCAUGCUCUGUGUGAUUAUCCCUGAUGAAUGGGAUUAAGUGCCCACAGUUGACAAUUGGAGUCACAGACAGUUCUCAUGUCAUUCCAAGUGCAGGAAUUCUGCACUUCAUCAUUAGAAGAGAGAGGGUUCCCUACUAAGUGUUUAAAUGCAGCUAAACCACCUGUAAAUCACUGGAAUUAUUCAGCAGCAAAACAAAGCCUUUGUAAACUUCAUUCUUGCAGUGCUUUAAUUGCAGACAAAACUUUACUCAUUCAAGUGAUCCCAUCAAUGUCAAAUAAAAACAUGAAUUACGAAGCUGUAAGAUUACAGCUUAAAGUCACUGACGUGUCAUUCCCAUAAUUUUCUCUGGAGGAUUACAGAACACUUAAUUUGUAACUGCAGAAACCUAAGUGUAAUCAGAUGUUCUUCCAUCUACAGUUUUUUACCUAAGUCAUUGAAUUCUGGGUUUGUUCUUUCCUGUUUCCCAAGUUCUUACUUGUAAAUGUGAAGACACUAACUGCUCUGUUCUUCUUCCCAGUUCAAGGAGGAAAUUGCCCUCAGCUCUUCGGUCAUUAAAUCUGGGAAGGAUGCAGCAGUCCAAGAUUUGAAAAUGUUUUAAAACUUCCGGCAUCUAAUUAGAAGGAGGCAUCUUGGAGCAGCACAAUAGCUGUCUAUCUGCAGUUCAUUUGGUUUUCCAAUUUAGAAAUGACAGUUUGCAGCCCUGAUGCGAGCGUGUUUCUCAUUAGCCUGUUCUAGGAACACGCAGCGUUAUUACAAGUUUUGAAAGAUGCUUUCUUCAAAAGUGCAAAUGAUAUUAAAUGGCAGAAUUUGCUCUCUGGAUAGCCACAUGGAGAAGCUGUGGUCUGCAGCCAUCCUAAUGCUGGUGGUAAAGGCAGAGCUGGACCUCAGCUUCAAAUCCGUGGAUGUCAUGGAUCCAGCUGCAUGGAAAAGAUGCUGCAGCAGGAAUUAGCCUUGUCCAGGGAAGACAGUUGUGAAUUGUCAGUGCUUUCCUCGUUUCACAGAUGGAUCUCAGGUUUCUUGGGCUUUUCCCAUGAGGAUUUUCUUGGAGAAGAAUGUGUCAGCUGUCCUGCUGACAGAUAGCCUCGUGAGAACUGUCCACACUGGCUUGAUUUAACCUCUUCAGGAGCUGGAUUCCUGGUCUGAGCUGGUUGGGUUUGUUGUCCUUGGGGUAAAUGAAGAGAGAGCUGCAUGUCAGCAGGUGAUGGAACUUGAGGAACAGGUGUAACUAUUUUUUUUUUUUUUUUACGUGGUUUUCUGCCCCCUGAAGAGGAGAUUGAGAAUAUUUGCCUGUCCUCAACACUCGACAGAUGGGUUCAUCUUGCAUGGUGGUUUAGGGUCUGGAAUGUCAGUUCUGCAAGGACUGGCUGAGGGUUGAAAAGGAGACUCAGGGAAGACCUUAUUUACCUGAAGACCAACAUUUACAGCAUUUACCUGAGAGGCGGUUGUGCUGAGGUGGGAAUUGGCCUCUUCUCCCAGGUAACAAGUGACAGGACAAUGGCAAACAGCCUCCUGUUUCAGCAGCAGAGGUUCAGGUUGGACAUGAGGAAAAAUUUCUUCGCUGAAGGAGUGGUUAAGCAUUGAAACCAAUGGCUGAGGGCAGUGGUGGAGUCACCAUCCCUGGAAAUGUUCAAAAAACAAGUGGACCUGGCACUUCAUGAUAGGGUUCAGGGGGCAUGGUGGUAUUAAAUCAAAGGUUGGACUCGGUAAUCUUGGAGGUCUUCUCCAACCUCAGUGGUUCUGCGGUUCUAGUCAACUAAAAUCAGCUUUCACAGGCCUUCCAGAGGCAGGCAUGGAACAUUCCCAGGUGUAAUAAACUGCAGGAGGGAAAAAAUGAAGAUGCUUCACUCUUCUUGAAAACACUGCAGCAAGGCAAAAUUCUGAACUUCUGCGUGGCUGAAGGAAAAAAGAGUUUGGUUCUGCCUGCACUUCAAAGCAGCUUUAUUUUAGCCAUUAGUGUUUUGUGAACCUGUGUGGAAGAUUCCCAGGCAGCUGCAUGCCCAGGGCAGAGCCCGGGGACACGGGCACAGCUCCGUCCUGCUGCUUCCUGCCUGCUCUGCUCCACACAGGCACUUUCUGGACAGAAAAGCUGCACAAUAAAUCCAGUGCUGAUGUGGCCUGGCGUGGUGACAGCUCUUCCAGUAACUGCAGGAACUGCCUGCUUGCAGAGGCCCAGCCUGCUCCGAUGGGUUGUUUUCCUUAAAACUGUUGUUCUGCACCAGGUGGGGCACACGGCGUCUUUGUGCCUCCCUCUGCCAUGCAGACACUUUGUGGUGCCUUCUGUGCCACUGCCCGGGGUGAUUUGUUCCUUUCUGAGAGGCCGUGAUGGACCUGAGUGCUUCCCAGAUGUCACUGAGAGCAGGGCUGUGCAAACACUCAAGGCUUGCUCGACAUGGCUCUGCAGAUGUGCUUCGGGUCUGAUGUUUGUUCUGCCAGCUGAGAUGAGGGGCUGCAGAGAGGUUAUGAAAAAAAGAGAGAAAAAAAACAAAACCUGUUUGAAAGGGAGUAAAUUGUCUAGAACACACUUCACUAGCAGAUUUCCAGGAAACAACCCUCUGUCAGACUUCUUAGAAGCUGUGCUGGCUCCAGGUGCUGAGUGCCAGGUCUGAAUAGCCCAUAAUAACUCAGUCCUUAACGUUAGGUUUGGAGAAAGGCUUUUCCCCUAAUUUGCAAAUCCCACCUCAGCCAGAGCUAGCUGACAGGCGGGCAGGUUUCCAGGCUCUCUGCACAACCUUUGGGAUGAGUAUUCAACCUUGGGGCACUGACGUGCAGCUUCUGUGACAUGCUGGUCUUGGUGCUGCUGCUGUUGAAAUGAAGGUUUGGUAACGUCUUAAGUGUUUUGCUUUUGCAGCAGUGCUGCCCUUGCUGGUGUGUCUGGAUGUAGUCUUGCUGUGGGCAGAGCUCAGCAGACAGAAUGUGUUAAUAGAAGACAGCAGCACAGGCAGGAUGAAGGUCCUUCAUUCCUUGUUAAAGCCUUGUACAUGUUGUUCAAGCUUGACUAACAAAAUUCCUCAGAGUGACACUGCUGCAAGCAAUUCUCUUGCUGUUGGUAGCACUGUAAUAGAAAACAGAAGUGAGCAUUUGAGUGACUCACACCAAAAUCAAGGGUAAGAAUAAGAAAAAAGCAUCAACUGUUUAACAGGAAAAAUAAAAACCCGACGUGGCUAGGUAUUCUUCUGUGGCAUUUCCAAUUUAUUGUUACAGGAAUAUCCUCCCAGCUAGACUCAAGCUCCCUCAGGAAGCUGGUUUCAUAUGGUGGUUUAGAUUUAACUAUUCAUUGUCUAGCACCAUUUGAAAUCAGUGUUCUUGGAGGAAGAAUGCCUGCCUUCAUCAGGGAAACAGACCCUCGGGAGCCUCAGAGGAAAAGAAGAGAAAGUCAAGAUCUUCUGUGUGGUUCUGCCACUCCAAUAUAACCUCCACCACUAAACAAAGUCCCUCAGUGGGACUCCAGGGGUCUGUGACCCAGGUCACCCCUGGGAGAGCGAUGCAAAGAGUGAUUUCAAAGGCAGAAAUUCUGCUGUUGUCAUGUUUAUAAUAUUUGUGAGUGGCGAGCAACAACUUCAGAACCCAAGAAGAUUUAGAGACAGAAAUGAGGCAAAAACGUAAAAUACAGAAUUGUCACUCAGUAUUGAAGAUGUUGAUUUUAAUGCCUCAGCUAGUAAAAACUACUAGAACUGGUUCAUACAGCAUGGUAAGGAAUAAGGAGGGAACUACAACGCAGCCUAAAUUCUUAACUCAAAACCUGUUUUCAGCCUUACCUAGAUCUGUUUUUCUUACCACUUCAUCACACUUGUAAAUACUUUGUACAUGUAUCAUACAAGACAAAUUUGAAGCAGGUGAUUCUGCAUUGAAGCACUGGGAGUUCUGGGUGCUGUUUGCAUCCCUCCUGUGCGUUUGGCUUUUUGUUGUGGCAUGUUUGCAGAUCAGAAUGUUACUUAUUUUGUGUGACAAGACUUGCCAGCGUGCAGUUCAGUGCUUGGAUGUGCUCACGGAAAUGGCCAGCAGCUGAGAAUUAGACCACAGCUGGUUGGUCAUAUUGUCCAAGUCUGCUGAAAUCUGGAGAAGUCUUUCAAGAUUAUAUUUUUGAAGUAUUUUACUAUACUAAAAAGUGUGUGUACCUAAUGGUUGAUGUUGAAAAUUUUCGCUGUCUAAACCUUUUGUUUUCUCACCAGUGCUUUAAUAAGAAUUAUACCAAGUAUUUGGGGAUUCUCCAAUGUGAAAUGCAGUCCA